UCUNGGUCANUUAGAGGAAGUAAAAGUNGUAACAAGGUUUCCGUAGGUGAACCUGCGGAAGGAUCAUUACCGAGAGACGGGGUCUAAACGGCCCCACUCUUCACCCGUGUCUACUUAUCUUUCGUUGCUUUGGCGGGCCGUCGAGCUUUAUCGCUCGGCGCCAGUGGGAAGGCGAGCGUCCUCCGCUCGGCGAGUGUCCGCCACAGGCCGUCAAUACCCUAUCUCAGUGAUGUCCGAGCCAACUAAGCAAUAGUCAAAACUUUCAACAACGGAUCUCUUGGUUCUGGCAUCGAUGAAGAACGCAGCGAAAUGCGAUAAGUAAUGUGAAUUGCAGAAUUCAGUGAAUCAUCGAAUCUUUGAACGCACAUUGCGCCCUCUGGUAUUCCGGGGGGCAUGCCUGUUCGAGCGUCAUUACAACCCUCAAGCAAUGCUUGGUACUGGGCGCAGCCCCCGCGGCUCGCCCGAAAGGCAGUGGUGGCUCAACGAGACUCCGAGCGUAGCAAGAUUUUUACCGAUCCCGCCACGGAAGACUCGAUGAAUCCGACCAACCAAAACACAAGUUCUUACUUGGACGAUUGACCUCGGAUCAGGUAGGGAUACCCGCUGAACUUAAGCAUAUCAAUAAGCGGAGGAAAAGAAACCAACCGGGAUUGCCUCAGUAACGGCGAGUGAAGCGGCAACAGCUCAAAUUUGAAAUCUGGCCUCUUCGGGGUCCGAGUUGUAAUUUGUAGAGGGUGUUUCGGGCGAGGCGCCAGCCUAAGUUCCUUGGAACAGGACGUCAUAGAGGGUGAGAAUCCCGUAUGCGGCUGGUGACCGACCCCAUGUGAAACCCCUUCGACGAGUCGAGUUGUUUGGGAAUGCAGCUCUAAAUGGGUGGUAAAUUUCAUCUAAAGCUAAAUACCGGCCAGAGACCGAUAGCGCACAAGUAGAGUGAUCGAAAGAUGAAAAGCACUUUGGAAAGAGAGUUAAAAAGUACGUGAAAUUGUUGAAAGGGAAGCGCUUGCAACCAGACCUGCCUCCGGGCGAUCAGCCGCCGUUCUCGGCGGUGCACUCGCCCGUUGCAGGCCAGCAUCGGUUCGGGCGGUCGGAUAAAGGCCCGGAGAAUGUAGCUCCCCUCGGGGAGUGUUAUAGCUCUGGGUGCAAUGCGGCCAGCCUGGACCGAGGACCGCGCUUCGGCUAGGAUGCUGGCGUAAUGGUUGUAAGCGGCCCGUCUUGAAACACGGACCAAGGAGUCUAACAUCUAUGCGAGUGNUUGGGUGUCAAACCCAUGCGCGCAAUGAAAGUGAACGGAGGUGAGAACCCUNUAAGGGCGCAUCAUCGACCGAUCCAGAUGUUUUCGGAUGGAUUUGAGUAAGAGCAUAGCUGUUUCGACCCGAAAGAUGGUGAACUAUGCCUGAAUAGGGUGAAGCCAGAGGAAACUCUGGUGGAGGCUCGCAGCGGUUCUGACGUGCAAAUCGAUCGUCAAAUUUGGGUAUAGGGGUAAGUUAAUAUUUCUUUUUGUUUGGUCUAGCCGCGCAGUCUACGAAGAAUCAUUGGCAGUAUCUUGAGGCCCCGUGAAGCCUCAUCAGACGACGAAGAUUAGAGAUCGGGCGGGGUAGUGCUGGAAUGUUUCCUUCGUAGCUGUGUUGUUUACUAGAGUUUAGAUAUUUUUAAUUGAGUCAAGGCUAACAAUUGGCCAGGCGAAAGACUAAUCGAACCAUCUAGUAGCUGGUUCCUGUCGAAGUUUCCCUCAGGAUAGCAGUAACGUUUUCAGUUUUAUGAGGUAAAGCGAAUGAUNAGAGGCCUUGGGGAUGAANCAUCCUUAACCUAUWCUCAAACUUUAAAUAUGUAAGAAGUNCCUNNNNUGUUACUUAGUUGAACGUGGACAUUUGAAUGCACCGUUACUAGUGGGCCAUUUUUGGUAAGCAGAACUGGCGAUGCGGGAUGAACCGAACGUGGGGUUAAGGUGCCGGAAUGUACGCUCAUCAGACACCACAAAAGGUGUUAGUUCAUCUAGACAGCAGGACGGUGGCCAUGGAAGUCGGAAACCGCCAAGGAGUGUGUAACAACUCACCUGCCGAAUGAACUAGCCCUGAAAAUGGAUGGCGCUCAAGCGUGCUACCUAUACCCCGCCGCCAGGGUAGAAACGAUGCCCUGGCGAGUAGGCAGGCGUGGGGGUNGGNGACGAAGCNNNNNA
RNAcentral lists this ribosomal RNA (2176 nucleotides) under Tetramelas chloroleucus. Its description in RNAcentral is "eukaryotic LSU rRNA". The stretch from base 577 to 2176 matches the Rfam family "Eukaryotic large subunit ribosomal RNA", at positions 1 to 1415 of the family's 3401-position model. Lineage: Eukaryota; Fungi; Ascomycota; Lecanoromycetes; Caliciales; Physciaceae. The record is from RNAcentral.